GAGAAGAAGAGAAUGAAGCCAAGACUGUUUUAAAUCACCAUGGUGAAUUCAAAUGAUCUGGCUGGCUAGGUGGGUGUUCCUUUUCUCCCUUAUCACUCCAUGUGUGUCUGUCCUGAAGAUGAAGCUACAUGCUCGCCAAAGAAGAUGAUCACCUAUGAAUAGACAGGGACCAGUCUACAGUGUUGACUGUAUCAUUAGCUGCAUUCCCCCCCUAAGACCUCUAUGCACACUCUCAAGAAAAUGAAGCACCAUAUGAUUUCACUCACAUGUGGUAUAUAGAGAACAAAC
Non-coding RNA from Erinaceus europaeus (western European hedgehog), 288 nucleotides. The record is from Rfam. Lineage: Eukaryota; Metazoa; Chordata; Mammalia; Eulipotyphla; Erinaceidae.